AUGGACGCAAGUCUGAUGGAGCAACGCCGCGUGAGUGAAGAAGGGUUUCGGCUCGUAAAGCUCUGUUGGUAGUGAAGAAAGAUAGAGGUAGUAACUGGCCUUUAUUUGACGGUAAUUACUUAGAAAGUCACGGCUAACUACGUGCCAGCAGCCGCGGUAAUACGUAGGUGGCAAGCGUUGUCCGGAUUUAUUGGGCGUAAAGCGAGUGCAGGCGGUUCAAUAAGUCUGAUGUGAAAGCCUUCGGCUCAACCGGAGAAUUGCAUCAGAAACUGUUGAACUUGAGUGCAGAAGAGGAGAGUGGAACUCCAUGUGUAGCGGUGGAAUGCGUAGAUAUAUGGAAGAACACCAGUGGCGAAGGCGGCUCUCUGGUCUGCAACUGACGCUGAGGCUCGAAAGCAUGGGUAGCGAACAGGAUUAGAUACCCUGGUAGUCCAUGCCGUAAACGAUGAGUGCUAAGUGUUGGGAGGUUUCCGCCUCUCAGUGCUGCAGCUAACGCAUUAAGCACUCCGCCUGGGGAGUACGACCGCAAGGUUGAAACUCAAAGGAAUUGACGGGGGCCCGCACAAGCGGUGGAGCAUGUGGUUUAAUUCGAAGCAACGCGAAGAACCUUACCAGGUCUUGACAUUCAGUGCAAAC
Molecule: ribosomal RNA, 636 nt
Filed under: Lactobacillus gasseri
Lineage: Bacteria; Bacillati; Bacillota; Bacilli; Lactobacillales; Lactobacillaceae
Description: bacterial SSU rRNA
Rfam family: Bacterial small subunit ribosomal RNA
Source: RNAcentral